GGGAGAUGGCGAAGUCUACAAUGCAGUCGAACGGUAACAGGAAGCAGCUUGCUGCUUUGCUGACGAGUGGCGGACGGGUGAGUAAUGUCUGGGAAACUGCCCGAUGGAGGGGGAUAACUACUGGAAACGGUAGCUAAUACCGCAUAACGUCGCAAGACCAAAGAGGGGGACCUUCGGGCCUCUUGCCAUCGGAUGUGCCCAGAUGGGAUUAGCUAGUAGGUGGGGUAACGGCUCACCUAGGCGACGAUCCCUAGCUGGUCUGAGAGGAUGACCAGCCACACUGGAACUGAGACACGGUCCAGACUCCUACGGGAGGCAGCAGUGGGGAAUAUUGCACAAUGGGCGCAAGCCUGAUGCAGCCAUGCCGCGUGUAUGAAGAAGGCCUUCGGGUUGUAAAGUACUUUCAGCGGGGAGGAAGGGAGUAAAGUUAAUACCUUUGCUCAUUGACGUUACCCGCAGAAGAAGCACCGGCUAACUCCGUGCCAGCAGCCGCGGUAAUACGGAGGGGUGCAAGCGUUAAUCGGAAUUACUGGGCGUAAAGCGCACGCAGGCGGUUUGUUAAGUCAGAUGUGAAAUCCCCGGGCUCAACCUGGGAACUGCAUCUGAUACUGGCAAGCUUGAGUCUCGUAGAGGGGGGUAGAAUUUCCAGGUGUAGCGGUGAAAUGCGUAGAGAUCUGGAGGAAUACCGGUGGCGAAGGCGGCCCCCUGGACGAAGACUGACGCUCAGGUGCGAAAGCGUGGGGAGCAAACAGGAUUAGAUACCCUGGUAGUCCACGCCGUAAACGAUGUCGACUUGGAGGUUGUGCCCUUGAGGCGUGGCUUCCGGAGCUAACGCGUUAAGUCGACCGCCUGGGGAGUACGGCCGCAAGGUUAAAACUCAAAUGAAUUGACGGGGGCCCGCACAAGCGGUGGAGCAUGUGGUUUAAUUCGAUGCAACGCGAAGAACCUUACCUGGUUCUUGACAUCCACGGGAAGUUUUCAGAGAUGAGAAUGUGCCUUCGGGAACCGUGAGACAGGUGCUGCAUGGCUGUCGUCAGCUCGUGUUGUGAAAUGUUGGGUUAAGUCCCGCAACGAGCGCAACCCUUAUCCUUUGUUGCCAGCGGUCCGGCCGGGAACUCAAAGGAGACUGCCAGUGAUAAACUGGAGGAAGGUGGGGAUGACGUCAAGUCAUCAUGGCCCUUACGACCAGGGCUACACACGUGCUACAAUGGCGCAUACAAAGAGAAGCGACCUCGCGAGAGCAAGCGGACCUCAUAAAGUGCGUCGUAGUCCGGAUUGGAGUCUGCAACUCGACUCCAUGAAGUCGGAAUCGCUAGUAAUCGUGGAUCAGAAUGCCACGGUGAAUACGUUCCCGGGCCUUGUACACACCGCCCGUCACACCAUGGGAGUGGGUUGCAAAAGAAGUAGGUAGCUUAACCUUCGGGAGGGCGCUACCACUUUGUGAUACGAUUUUUC
This 1455-nucleotide ribosomal RNA is filed under the name uncultured bacterium. RNAcentral's name for it is "bacterial SSU rRNA". It matches the Rfam family "Bacterial small subunit ribosomal RNA". The record is from RNAcentral.